CCUACGGGAUGCAGCAGUGAGGAAUAUUGGUCAAUGGACGAGAGUCUGAACCAGCCCAGUAGCGUGAAGGAUGACUGCCCUAUGGGUUGUAAACUUCUUUUAUAUGGGAAUAAAAUGUUCCACGUGUGGGAUUUUGUAUGUACCAUAUGAAUAAGGAUCGGCUAACUCCGUGCCAGCAGCCGCGGUAAUACGGAGGAUCCGAGCGUUAUCCGGAUUUAUUGGGGUUAAAGGGAGCGUAGGUGGAUUGUUAAGUCAGUUGUGAAAGUUUGCGGCUCAACCGUAAAAUUGCAGUUGAAACUGGCAGUCUUGAGUACAGUAGAGGUGGGCGGAAUUCGUGGUGUAGCGGUGAAAUGCUUAGAUAUCACGAAGAACUCCGAUUGCGAAGGCAGUUCACUGGACUGCAACUGACACUGAGGCUCGAAAGUGUGGGUAUCAAACAGGAUUAGAUACCCGUGUAGUC
RNAcentral lists this ribosomal RNA (460 nucleotides) under uncultured bacterium. Its description in RNAcentral is "partial 16S ribosomal RNA". It matches the Rfam family "Bacterial small subunit ribosomal RNA", at positions 338 to 795 of the family's 1533-position model. The record is from RNAcentral.